GACGAACGCUGGCGGCGUGCUUAACACAUGCAGGUCGAACGGAAAGGCCCUGCUUGCAGGGUACUCGAGUGGCGAACGGGUGAGUAACACGUGGGUGAUCUGCCCUGCACUUCGGGAUAAGCCUGGGAAACUGGGUCUAAUACCGGAUAGGAGCCAUUUUUAGUGUGAUGGUUGGAAAGUUUUUUCGGUGUAGGAUGAGCUCGCGGCCUAUCAGCUUGUUGGUGGGGUAAUGGCCUACCAAGGCGGCGACGGGUAGCCGGCCUGAGAGGGUGGACGGCCACAUUGGGACUGAGAGACGGCCCAGACGCCUACGGGAGGCAGAAGGGGGGAAGAUUGCACAAUGGGCGCAAGCCUGAUGCAGCGACGCCGCGUGGGGGAUGACGGCCUUCGGGUUGUAAACUCCUUUCGCUAGGGACGAAGCUUUUUGUGACGGUACCUAGAUAAGAAGCACCGGCUAACUACGUG
Molecule: ribosomal RNA, 465 nt
Filed under: uncultured bacterium
Lineage: Bacteria
Description: partial 16S ribosomal RNA
Rfam family: Bacterial small subunit ribosomal RNA
Source: RNAcentral